Molecule: long non-coding RNA, 632 nt
Organism: Amphimedon queenslandica
Lineage: Eukaryota; Metazoa; Porifera; Demospongiae; Haplosclerida; Niphatidae
Exons: 3
Source: RefSeq, a predicted model, not a curated record
UUAUGGUGCUAGUAUAUUCCAGAUGUCUGAAAGCAGUAGUGUUUUAAGCUGUGACAUAUCAGUCGACGAUCGUUUUAUUGUUACUGGAUCUGGAGACAAGAAGGCUACAGUGUAUGAAGUUAUACUAUGAGUAGGUGAUAUUUGACUUGUAAUGAAUAAUGCAAUCUACACUUGAGUUUAGUCUCUUUGUUACAAGUACUGACUACAAAACUCUCAUGUAAUAUAAAAUCUCUAAUAAUUCCAGGUAAGAUAUUGUUUGUCAUGUUUGCUAUAAUGCAUUAACAUUAAUAAUAAUAAUAAUAAUAAUAAUAAUAAAACUUGAAUUCUUUUGAUUGUAAUAUCUUGUAUUACUAUUAUACCUGAGGGUUAGUUUGUGAGUACAUUUCUUGUAAGUACUAGCUCAAGUACCUUUUAUCAUAAUCACCAAGAGAGUACCAACUACCAAUUAUUAUUAAUUGGACUCACCACUAACUCACUAAGAAGAAUAUAUUCCAAUGCAUUCAAUAGCAGGACCAUCACCUCAUCAGCAAGCAAAGAAGACAUGUUUUAACCUGAUGUAUUCCUUGACAUACAACCAACUAAUAAUUACUGUACUUAUUGUUAUAAUGUUGGCAGUGAUUGGAUUUAAUUUA